ACGAACGCUGGCGGCAGGCUUAACACAUGCAAGUCGAGCGCCCCGCAAGGGGAGCGGCAGACGGGUGAGUAACGCGUGGGAACGUACCUUUUGGUUCGGAACAACUCCGGGAAACUGGAGCUAAUACCGGAUAAGCCCUAACGGGGAAAGAUUUAUCGCCGAAAGAUCGGCCCGCGUCUGAUUAGCUAGUUGGUGAGGUAACGGCUCACCAAGGCGACGAUCAGUAGCUGGUCUGAGAGGAUGAUCAGCCACACUGGGACUGAGACACGGCCCAGACUCCUACGGGAGGCAGCAGUGGGGAAUAUUGGACAAUGGGCGCAAGCCUGAUCCAGCCAUGCCGCGUGAGUGAUGAAGGCCUUAGGGUUGCAAAGCUCUUUUGUCCGGGAAGAUAAUGACUGUACCGGAAGAAUAAGCCCCGGCUAACUUCGUG
This 430-nucleotide ribosomal RNA is filed under the name uncultured bacterium. Its description in RNAcentral is "partial 16S ribosomal RNA". It matches the Rfam family "Bacterial small subunit ribosomal RNA", at positions 29 to 507 of the family's 1533-position model. The record is from RNAcentral.